Molecule: unclassified non-coding RNA, 345 nt
Filed under: soil metagenome
Description: partial contains 5.8S ribosomal RNA, internal transcribed spacer 2, and large subunit ribosomal RNA
Rfam family: 5.8S ribosomal RNA (bases 1-120)
Source: RNAcentral
GAUGAAGAACGCAGCGAAAUGCGAUACGUAAUGUGAAUUGCAGAAUUCAGUGAAUCAUCGAGUCUUUGAACGCACAUUGCGCCCCCUGGUAUUCCGGGGGGCAUGCCUGUCCGAGCGUCAUUGCUGCCCUCAAGCACGGCUUGUGUGUUGGGCCUCCGUCCUCCUCCCGGGGGACGGGCCCGAAAGGCAGCGGCGGCACCGCGUCCGGUCCUCGAGCGUAUGGGGCUUCGUCACCCGCUCUUGUAGGCCCGGCCGGGGCUUGCCGACACAUCAAUCUUUUUUCCAGGUUGACCUCGGAUCAGGUAGGGAUACCCGCUGAACUUAAGCAUAUCAAUAAGCGGAGGA